This 839-nucleotide ribosomal RNA is filed under the name uncultured eukaryote. Its description in RNAcentral is "SSU rRNA". It matches the Rfam family "Eukaryotic small subunit ribosomal RNA", at positions 635 to 1426 of the family's 1831-position model. The record is from RNAcentral.
CGGUGUUCAACUGGCGUGCCCGCGGGACGUCCUGCCGGUGAGCUCAGCCCGCGAGGGCGGCUCAACUUGAAAUCCCAUCGCGGUGCUCUUCAUUGAGUGUCGAGGUGGGCCGGCACGAUUACUUUUGAACAAAUUAGAGUGCUUAAAGCAGGCUAAAAUUUUGCCUGAAUACUGUGUAUAUGGAAUAAUGGAAUAGGACCUCGGUUCUAUUUUGUUGGUUUUCGGAACCCCGAGGUAAUGAUUAAUAGGAACGGAUGGGGGCAUUCGUAUUGCGACGUUAGAGGUGAAAUUCUUGGAUCGUCGCAAGACGGACUAAAGCGAAAGCAUUUGCCAAAAACGCUUUCAUUGAUCAAGAACGAAAGUUAGAGGUUCGAAGGCGAUCAGAUACCGCCCUAGUUCUAACCAUAAACUAUGCCAGCUAGCGAUCCGCCGACGUCCCUCUGAUGACUCGGCGGGCAGCUUCCGGGAAACCAAAGCUUUUGGGUUCCGGGGGAAGUAUGGUUGCAAAGCUGAAACUUAAAGGAAUUGACGGAAGGGCACCACCAGGAGUGGAGCCUGCGGCUUGAUUUGACUCAACACGGGAAACCUCACCAGGCCCAGACACUGGAAGGAUUGACAGAUUGAGAGCUCUUUCUUGAUUCAGUGGGUGGUGGUGCAUGGCCGUUCUUAGUCGGUGGAGCGAUUUGUCAGGUUAAUUCCGAUAACGGACGAGACUCUGACCUGAUAACUAGACGCACUUGCGGCAUCUCAAAGGUCCGCCGGCGGCUGGCUUUGCGCCCGUCGUCGCGCGCGAUUUUUACUGCCGGCGUACAAUAAAUUCUUCUUAGAGGGACAAGUGG